GAAACGGGCAUUACAUGGCCAGUGUGCACUCACCUCCCCUUCACAAGUUUUCGGCGACUCUGGCAUACGUGGGAGACAUCACCGACCCAUAGAUCUGAGGCGCAUCGCGAGAAAGAGGAAGAGGGCAAGGCACGACAGCUAAAUUGUCUGGACUGUCCCUCUGCGUCUCUCUCUCGCUGUUCCUUCACUGCUCGAGAGAGAAGAAAGACGUGUUGGGUACGGCGUUAGAGGCACACAAAGAGUGAGCGCUGAUGAAGAGCGAGGGAGAGCAGCGGCAGGUGCGGCACACGACAGAACACCUCGCGCAGGGCUCUAAAGCAGACAAGUACGGCGGAGGCGGUGAGUGGGGGGGAGGUGGGUAAGCGUGAGAGCCAUACGCACGCACAUGCAUAUAUACAUAGAUGCAUAUAUGCACCGAUACCCACCCACCUUGACCAGCCUUCUUUCUCUUUUUCUGUGCUCCUUCUCCAGUGUCUCAUAGGCUAUUCCAGCCGAGCCUCUCAACAUACCACCCAACACUUCCACUGCGCAAAUUCCAUCGCCGCGCGCUCUGACGUCGUUGCAUCCCCCCAGUGCUUGCUUCAACGGUGACCGCUGCUGCUGCAUUGUGCUCCCUGACCCACCAUACGGCGCGUGGAUGACACACAUGGGCAGGGCCGCGGACGGCUACCAACGCCUCGGCAACAACUACCCACAGGUCAUACCCAGCUCGCACUUCGCCGCCGCGUCGCCUGAUCCGGUGCUCGCCACACCGAUCCAGACUCGACCACUGCAGGGGAAUCCAUUCCAUCCACUGCUCUGGAACGGCAGCGCCACCAGUAGCACUGGGGCAGCCGGUGUGCAGCCGAGCCUCUCGCGAAAGAGCCGCACCAAGCUCACAUCGGGCGUCACAGCCGGUAGCAGUAGUGGAGCGCUCUCCUCGACUUUAUCUCUCUCAACAACCCUCUCUUGUGCGUCGGCAGCGGCAUCCGGCGAAGGGCGACUCCAGCGUCGGGUCAGCCGUGACAGGCUUGGGGCUUCUUCGACUCCGACGUCCUCGAGCACCACCGCGCAAGUCUUGAAGCUGCAGCGACCGGCGCAGAGCCGGAUGCCGCCGUCAUCCUCGUCUCCGCCUGCGUCGGUUGGCCUCACCGCUGCGGGGGCCGGCGGUGCCGUUACCCCUGCCAAUCUGGGCAGGGAGAGAAAAGUGGCGGCUGCCAACUACAACGCUCUCUUUCAGCAAGAGCUUCAGCAGCAGCAACAACAGGGUUCGGGCAAGGGGGCAUGGCCGACUCCGUCGCCGUCGCCACCCACUGGCGCGCUUCAGUAUGCGCAGUUGCCGCCCAGCGCCAGCGCAGACGUGCAUGGCACGGGGGCCCACAGCGGCUCUGGGGAAGGGAGGUCUGAAGCACUAUCCUCUUCCGUAACAGCCUCGUCAGCGCAAGCAGGCACAGUGGAGGGCCCGCUGCCGCCGGACGUGCGUCGCAUCAUUGCCCAGAGUUGCACCAGCAGCAGCAGCAGCGGAGCGGACACAAGCGCCAUCAUUGAUGCAGCAGAGCAACAGGCCCGUCGUCUCAUUAGCACCGGCCGCCGCGUGAAAGUGUAUCGAGAGGAGCUGACGGCUGCGGAGGAGGAGCGCAAAGACCUGGCCGCCGCCGUGGAGGAGCGCCAACUUGUGCGAUCCGUACUACAGAGCGAGGUUGACGACAUUAACGCCCGCGUUCAGGCUCUCUUGCAGGAACGUGCGCUUGUUGAAGCGCAGCUGCACGCGCAGGAUGACGCGGCCGCGCGUGAAGCACGCAAGUUGACCGAGGCGCAGGACCGAGUGACGGUGCUGCGAAAGACGAUUGAGGGCAUUGUGGCGGAGACUUCGGCGUCGCGGCUGAUGCUGCGGCAGCUAAUACCGUCUCUGCACAUCGAAAACUACUACUAGAGGGGGGAGAAGGGGACUGCUGAUGGAGGUGGCGGCGGCGGCGGCUUCAGGUGCACCGCCAUGGCCGUCCUCCGCGGCGAGGUCUCUCUGCUGCUGAUUGCAGAGAGACCUCACUGCACACGUCUCUGCCCAGGCGUGCGCACUUACAACGCACACGCUAACACGUCUUGUACACUGUUACUUCUUGCCUUCUCCACUCCCUCUAUAG
This 2120-nucleotide unclassified non-coding RNA is filed under the name Leishmania donovani. RNAcentral's name for it is "gene:LdHU3.13.0690(CDS-product:hypothetical_prote in_conserved)". The record is from RNAcentral. Lineage: Eukaryota; Euglenozoa; Kinetoplastea; Trypanosomatida; Trypanosomatidae.